GUCGGUGGCAAAGUCGCUGUCGAUACAGGCGCACCCGGACAAGGAGCUGGCGAAGGCGCUGAACAAGACGAAUCCCGGUGUCUACAGGAAUUCGAACCAUAAGCCGGAGAUGGCGGUUGCUCUCACCGAAUUUGAGGCGCUCUGUGGGUUUGUGAGUGCUAAGGAGUUUAAGGUUGUGAUUGCUACUGUGCCGGAGAUCGCGGAGCUGGUUGGGGAAGGUAGCUGGAAUGAUUUCGGAUGCGAAGGAGGAAGAUGGGUCUCAGGAAGCGAGAGUCCUUUUGCAAUCGGU
Molecule: unclassified non-coding RNA, 289 nt
Filed under: Hevea brasiliensis (rubber tree)
Lineage: Eukaryota; Viridiplantae; Streptophyta; Magnoliopsida; Malpighiales; Euphorbiaceae
Source: RNAcentral